Long non-coding RNA from Oncorhynchus keta (chum salmon), 5166 nucleotides. RefSeq lists it as uncharacterized. The record is from RefSeq and is a predicted model, not a curated record. The transcript has 6 exons. NCBI's taxonomy places the organism in Eukaryota, Metazoa, Chordata, Actinopteri, Salmoniformes, Salmonidae.
AUCUAUUUAUGUAUUAUCAUCUAAUCUAUUAUCAUCUACUCUUAUCAUCUAACCUAUUAUCAUCUACUCUAUUAUCAUCUAACCUAUUAUCAUCUAACCUAUUAUCAUCUAAUCUAUUAUCAUCUACUCUAUUAUCAUCUACUCUAUUAUCAUCUAACCUAUUAUCAUCUAACCUAUUAUCAUCUAACCUAUUAUCAUCUAAUCUGUUAUCAUCUAAUCUAUUAUCAUCUAACCUAUUUAUCUAUUAUUAUCUAUAAUCUAAUCUAUUUAUCUAUUAUCUAACCUAUUAUCAUCUAAUCUAUUUAUCUAUUAUCUAACCUAUUAUCAUCUAUCAUCUAAUCUAUUUAUCUAUAAUCUAAUCUAUUAUCAUCUAAUCUAUUAUCAUCUAACCUAUUAUCAUCUAUCAUCAAAUCUAUUGAUCUAUUAUCUAAUCUAUUAUCUAUUAUCUAAUCUAUUUAUCUAUUAUCAUCUAAUCUAUUAUCUAAUAUAUUAUCUAUUAUCAUCUAAUCUAUUUAUCUAUUAUCAUCUAAUCUUUUAUCUAUUAUCAUCUAAUCUAUUAUCUAUUAUCAUCUAAUCUAUUUAUCUAUUAUCAUCUAAUCUAUUAUCAUCUAAUAUAUUAUCAUCUAUCAUAAUCUAUUUAUCUAUUAUCAUCUAUCAUCUAUUUUAUUUUUAUUUCCCCUUUAUUUAACCAGGUAGUCCAGUUGAGAACAAGUUCUCAUUUACAAUUGCGACCUGGCCAAGAUAAAGCAAAGCAGUUUGACACAUACAACAACACAGUUACACAUGGAGUAAAACAAACAUACAGUCAAUAAUACAGUAGAAAAAUAAGUCUAUAUACAAUGUGAGCAAAUGAGGUGAGAUAAGGGAGGUAAGGCAAUAAAUAGGCCAUAGUGGCGAAAUAAUGACAAUAUACCAAUUAAACACAAGUGAUUAAUGUGCAGAAGAUGAAUGUGCAAGUAGAGAUACUGGGGUGCAAAGGAGCAAGAUAAAUAAAUAAAUAACAGUAUGGGGAUGAGGUAGUUGUUUGGGCUAAAUUAUAGGUGGGCUAUGUACAGGUGCAGUAAUCUGUGAGCUGCUCUGACAGCUGGUGCUUAAAAUUAAUGAGGGAGAUAUGAGUCUCCAGCUUCAGUGAUUUUUGCAGUUCGUUCCAGUCAUUGGCAGCAGAGAACUGGAUGGAGAGGCGGCCAAAGGAAGAAUUGGCUUUGGGGGUGACUAGUGAGAUAUACCUGCUGGAGCGUGUGCUACGAGUGGGUGCUGCUAUGGUGACCAGUGAGCUGAGAGAAGGUGGGGCUUUACCUAGCAGAGACUUGUAGAUGACCUGGAGCCAGUGGGUUUGGCGACGAGUAUGAAGCGAGGGCCAGCCAACGAGAGCGUACAGGUCACAAUGGUGGGUAGUAUAUGGGGCUUUGGCGACAAAACGGAUGGUACUGUGAUAGACUACAUCCAAUUAGCUGAGUAGGGUGUUGGAGGCCAUUCCGGAAAUGACAUCACCGAAGUCGAGGAUCGGUAGGAUGGUCAGUUUAACAAGGGUAUGUUUGGCAGCAUGAGUGAAGGAUGCUUUGUUGCGAAAUAGGAAGCUGAUUCUAGAUUUAACUUUGGAUUGGAGAUGCUUAAUAUGAGUCUGGAAGGAGAGUUUACAGUCUAACCAGACACCUAGGUAUUUGUACUUGUCCACACAUUCUAAGUCAGAACCGUCCAGAGUAGUGAUGCUGGACGGGCGGGCAGGUGCAGGUAGCGAACGGUUGAAGAGCAUGCAUUUAGUUUUACUUGCGUUUAAGAGCAGUUGGUGGCCACGGAAGGAGAGGUGUAUGGCAUUGAAGCUUGUCUGGAGGUUAGUUAACACAGUGUCCAAGGAGGGGCCAGAAGUAUACAGAAUGUUGUAUACUUAUCUAAUCUAUUAUCAUCUAAACGAUUAUCAUAUCUAUUACCUUAAAUAUUUAAUAUAUUUUUUUAUCUAUUAUCAUUUUAUCGUUUUUUUUUUAUCUAUUUUCAUCUGCUUUCAUAAUUGGUCUAUUUUAAUACAGAAUGGUCUAUUUUAAUCUAUUUUAAUACAGAAUGGUCUAUUUUAAUACAGAUUAUGAUCUAUUUUAAUACAGAUUAAGAUAUAUUUUAAUCCAAAAGGUAGGUAUAAAUGCUGGCAGCUCUAGAGGUGUGUUUUUGUAAAGAUUGUCAUUGGUUUGAUUAUGGUUACUGGGUCUUCUCCCCUCCCAGUGCAGGGGUGUCAUUAUGGUUACUGGGUCUUCUCCCUCCUAGUGCAGGGGUGUCGUUAUGGUUACUGGGUCUUCUCCCCUCCUAGUGCAGGGGUGUCGUUAUGGUUACUGGGUCUUCUCCCUCCCAGUAUAGGGGUGUCGUUAUGGUUACUGGGUCUUCUCCCCUCCUAGUGCAGGGGUGUCAUUAUGGUUACUGGGUCUUCUCCCUCCUAGUGCAGGGGUGUCGUUAUGGUUACUGGGUCUUCUCCUCCUAGUGCAGGGGUGUCGUUAUGGUUACUGGGUCUUCUCCCUCCUAGUGCAGGGGUGUCGUUAUGGUUACUGGGUCUUCUCCCCUCCUAGUGCAGGGGUGUCGUUAUGGUUACUGGGUCUUCUCCCUCCUAGUGCAGGGGUGUCGUUAUGGUUACUGGGUCUUCUCCCUCCCAGUAUAGGGGUGUCAUUAUGGUUACUGGGUCUUCUCCCUCCCAGUACAGGGGUGUCAUUAUGGUUACUGGGUCUUCUCCCUCCUCCUAGUACAGGGGUGUCAUUAUGGUUACUGGGUCUUCUCCCUCCCAGUACAGGGGUGUCAUUAUGGUUACUGGGUCUUCUCCCUCCCAGUACAGGGGUGUCGUUAUGGUUACUGGGUCUUCUCCCUCCCAGUACAGGGGUGUCAUUAUGGUUACUGGGUCUUCUCUCCUCCUAGUACAGGGGUGUCAUUAUGGUUACUGGGUCUUCUCCUCCUAGUACAGGGGUGUCAUUAUGGUUACUGGGUCUUCUCUCCUCCUAGUACAGGGUGUCAUUAUGGUUACUGGGUCUUCUCCCUCCCAGUACAGGGGUGUCGUUAUGGUUACUGGGUCUUCUCCCUCCCAGUACAGGGGUGUCGUUAUGGUUACUGGGUCUUCUCCCUCCUAGUACAGGGGUGUCGUUAUGGUUACUGGGUCUUCUCCUCCCAGUACAGGGGUGUCAUUAUGGUUACUGGGUCUUCUCCCUCCCAGUGCAGGGGUGUCAUUAUGGUUACUGGGUCUUCUCCCUCCCAGUACAGGGGUGUCAUUAUGGUUACUGGGUCUUCUCCCUCCUAGUACAGGGGUGUCAUUAUGGUUACUGGGUCUUCUCCUCCCAGUACAGGGGUGUCAUUAUGGUUACUGGGUCUUCUCCCUCCUCCUAGUACAGGGGUGUCAUUAUGGUUACUGGGUCUUCUCCCUCCCAGUAUAGGGGUGUCAUUAUGGUUACUGGGUCUUCUCCCUCCUCCUAGUACAGGGGUGUCGUUAUGGUUACUGGGUCUUCUCCCUCCUAGUACAGGGGUGUCAUUAUGGUUACUGGGUCUUCUCUCCUCCUAGUACAGGGGUGUCAUUAUGGUUACUGGGUCUUCUCCUCCUAGUACAGGGGUGUCAUUAUGGUUACUGGGUCUUCUCUCCUCCUAGUACAGGGGUGUCAUUAUGGUUACUGGGUCUUCUCCCUCCUAGUACAGGGGUGUCAUUAUGGUUACUGGAUCUUCUCUCCUCCUAGUACAGGGGUGUCAUUAUGGUUACUGGGUCUUCUCUCCUCCUAGUACAGGGGUGUCAUUAUGGUUACUGUGUCUUCUCCCUCCCAGUAUAGGGGUGUCAUUAUGGUUACUGGGUCUUCUCCUCCUAGUACAGGGGUGUCAUUAUGGUUACUGGGUCUUCUCCCUCCCAGUAUAGGGGUGUCAUUAUGGUUACUGGGUCUUCUCCUCCUAGUACAGGGGUGUCGUUAUGGUUACUGGGUCUUCUCCCUCCUAGUACAGGGGUGUCAUUAUGGUUACUCCAGCAUGCUGUAGAGAGGUUUCUGAUUGGAUCCAGCGUGCUGUAGAGAGGUUUCUGAUUGGAUCCAGCGUGCUGUAGAGGUUUCUGAUUGGAUCCAGCAUGCUGUAGAGAGGUUUCUGAUUGGAUCCAGCGUGCUGUAGAGAGGUUUCUGAUUGGAUCCAGCAUGCUGUAGAGAGGUUUCUGAUUGGAUCCAGCGUGCUGUAGAGGUUUCUGAUUGGAUCCAGCAUGCUGUAGAGAGGUUUCUGAUUGGAUCCAGCAUGCUGUAGAGAGGUUUCUGAUUGGAUCCAGCGUGCUGUAGAGAGGUUUCUGAUUGGAUCCAGCAUGCUGUAGAGAGGUUUCUGAUUGGAUCCAGCGUGCUGUAGAGAGGUUUCUGAUUGGAUCCAGCGUGCUGUAGAGAGGUUUCUGAUUGGAUCCAGCAUGCUGUAGAGAGGUUUCUGAUUGGAUCCAGCGUGCUGUAGAGAGGUUUCUGAUUGGAUCCAGCGUGCUGUAGAGAGGUUUCUGAUUGGAUCCAGCAUGCUGUAGAGAGGUUUCUGAUUGGAUCCAGCAUGCUGUAGAGAGGUUUCUGAUUGGAUCCAGCAUGCUGUAGAGAGGUUUCUGAUUGGAUCCAGCGUGCUGUAGAGAGGUUUCUGAUUGGAUCCAGCGUGCUGUAGAGAGGUUUCUGAUUGGAUCCAGCGUGCUGUAGAGAGGUUUCUGAUUGGAUCCAGCGUGCUGUAGAGAGGUUUCUGAUUGGAUCCAGCAUGCUGUAGAGAGGUUUCUGAUUGGAUCCAGCAUGCUGUAGAGAGGUUUCUGAUUGGAUCCAGCAUGCUGUAGAGAGGUUUCUGAUUGGAUCCAGCGUGCUGUAGAGGUUUCUGAUUGGAUCCAGCAUGCUGUAGAGAGGUUUCUGAUUGGAUCCAGCAUGCUGUAGAGAGGUUUCUGAUUGGAUCCAGCGUGCUGUAGAGAGGUUUCUGAUUGGAUCCAGCAUGCUGUAGAGAGGUUUCUGAUUGGAUCCAGCAUGCUGUAGAGAGGUUUCUGAUUGGAUCCAGCAUGCUGUAGAGAGGUUUCUGAUUGGAUCCAGCGUGCUGUAGAGAGGUUUCUGAUUGGAUCCAGCGUGCUGUAGAGAGGACUCUGAUUGGAUCUCCACUAAAGGAAGAACAUUUCCUUUAAAUUUCAAUCACUGUAAAACGUACAUCUCCACAAUGCAGAUUGAAUGGACCCUUAGA